CCAAACCUUUUAAAUACUAGCAGAUUUUUCCCUAACUUUACAUUUGUUGCAGCCAUCACCCAAACAUUUUCAAACGUUGUAUCUGAGGACCUUUUUGGAUGGAAUCUGUCCAAAUAUUCGUCAGUUGACCUAAAAAAAUGAUUUUGACCCGAAAAAUUAAUUUUGAUCACAUUUUACUCAAUUUUAAAAGGGCAAAAUAAUAAUUUAAUAUUUUUCUCUCUCCCCUUUCUUUCUCUCUCC
RNAcentral lists this long non-coding RNA (240 nucleotides) under Olea europaea (common olive). Its description in RNAcentral is "long non-coding RNA (OEUR_LNC004158)". Lineage: Eukaryota; Viridiplantae; Streptophyta; Magnoliopsida; Lamiales; Oleaceae. The record is from RNAcentral.